Molecule: ribosomal RNA, 434 nt
Filed under: uncultured bacterium
Lineage: Bacteria
Description: partial 16S ribosomal RNA
Rfam family: Bacterial small subunit ribosomal RNA
Source: RNAcentral
AGCGAACGCUGGCGGCAGGCCUAACACAUGCAAGUCGAACGAACCUUUCGGGGUUAGUGGCGGACGGGUGCGUAACACGUGGGAACGUGCCUUUAGGUUCGGAAUAACUCAGGGAAACUUGUGCUAAUACCGAAUGUGCCCUUCGGGGGAAAGAUUAAUCGCCUUUAGAUCGGCCCGCGUCUGAUUAGCUAGUUGGUUGAGGUAAUGGCUCACCAAGGCGACGAUCAGUAGCUGGUCUGAGAGGAUGAUCAGCCACAUUGGGACUGAGACACGGCCCAAACUCCUACGGGAGGCAGCAGUGGGGAAUCUUGCGCAAUGGGCGAAAGCCUGACGCAGCCAUGCCGCGUGAAUGAUGAAGGUCUUAGGAUUGUAAAAUUCUUUCACCGGGGACGAUAAUGACGGUACCGGGAGAAGAAGCCCCGGCUAACUUCGUG